GUCUACGGCCAUGCCACCCUGAACAAGCCUGAUCCCAUCUGAUCUCGGAAGCUAAGCAGGGUCGGGCCUGGUUAAUACUUGGAUGAGAGAUCGCCUAGGAAGACCAGGUGCUGUAGGUG
RNAcentral lists this ribosomal RNA (119 nucleotides) under Pteropus alecto (black flying fox). Lineage: Eukaryota; Metazoa; Chordata; Mammalia; Chiroptera; Pteropodidae. The record is from RNAcentral.